AUCUUUGUCACUCUCGCUCUCAUCUCCAUAUUCUUCUUCUUCUUCUUAAAUUAUUUCUCGCUUUUGACUUUGUUGGCCUGAAACCCCAAACUAUCUUCGACGCCCGGUUCUUUGCCAUUCAAUUGUGUCAGCCUCCUCCCACUUUAUCCUUCUCGUUUUCAUCCGCUAGUACAAUUUUGUUAUGGGUCAGAUUUACGAACACUUGGAUUUGAUUUUGUAGGGUUGAGUUGAUCGAUUUAGGCUAGACUGAUUUCUUAGAAGCUUUUGGCCGAAGUUAUGAUAAUGCCCUCUAGGUGUUUGACGAAUUGCCUCAUUAAUAGUUUGCUUGGUUUUUUGACAUUGUUUGGCGUUUUGUAGGCUGAUUCAUAUAAUGAUUGUAUUGCUUAAUUCUUGAAAGCUGGUUAAUACACAUAAUGUCUUGGUCUUGUUUGUGUUGUACUCCAGUUUAUCUCUCCGUCAUCUUCGAAUUAAUGACCGCGAAGGUGAUUAUAAUUUCGUUCUCUUUCUCAUUUUGUUGCUUACUUUAUUGGGGUUUUUUCAUUUUUUUAAGUACUCCUUCCGUACUUUUAUAAAUGAUGUUAUAAGCUUUUAUUUUUGUUCUUAAAUAUAUGAUGUUUUAAAU
This 622-nucleotide small RNA is filed under the name Arabidopsis thaliana (thale cress). RNAcentral describes it as "putative long intergenic non-coding RNA". Lineage: Eukaryota; Viridiplantae; Streptophyta; Magnoliopsida; Brassicales; Brassicaceae. The record is from RNAcentral.